CCCCGGAGCCAGAGAGCCGGGUCGGGGCAGGGCUGGCGCAAGCGUGGGGCGGGGCUUCAGGGAUUCUGCUCUGAAGGCCCAGGUCGCGCCCCAGCUGGAAGUGGGUAUCAGCACUGCGCGUCACGGUGAGAGGCGGGGAGACCGACAGUCAUCUUCAGACACACAGGGCCCUCCCGGGUCACCUGGGGAUGCGUCUGUUGGGCCGGAAUCGAACGCGCCCACACUCGAGAUGGGGACAGUCCUAGGACCGCCCAGGCAGGGCUGGAUUUCUCGAAAAGGCCCGCCACGUCCCAGCCCCCCUCCCAGUCCCGUGAACCCCACAAAGUGCUGAGUAACGGUGACCAGGAAGUAUCUCCGUGUGUGCGUUCUCGCCACCUCUCCUGAAUUUACCAUGACCGUUCUCUUCUCUGUAACUUCCUUCUGUUCUUUUCUUUUCACCGCUGAGCCCGCUGCUCCAGCUUGAUGCAGCGGUUUAGACAGUAGAGACGACCAGGGGACCGGCUGGGCUCUUGACUGUCAGACAGCUGCGUGUGAGAUGGAAGUGAGGAGGCAGACUGCUGGAACAAAAGUCGGAGUUUGCAUUGAUCCAGGAAUGCCUGUUGCAGGUCGUGUCUGGCAGGGCUGGGGAUUGUGGAAGAUGCGUUAGCUGGACUUGUGGAGCCAGGAGGGCCUGUCAGCUGCUGGAAGUGGAGGUGGAGAAGCUGCUCACAGGAACCAGAGCCAGAAGGCUGGGAGGGAGAGUCCCAGGACAGAACUGAAAUAACAGUGAAGAAGACUGAAGAUCUGCCUGCUCCGACAUGUGGAGAGACACUACAGAAUGUAGAAUGCCUGAGCUGCCACAGGGAUUCCAUGUGACAUCUGCCACAUGCGGGCAUGAAAUUAAUUCUCCAUCCUGUUCUUCUCUAAAGACAUUUUCACGGCUGCUUUCCAGAGGGCCUGUGACUUGGCACAAUAAAGUAAGCGCUCCUUCAACUCAUUUUCAGCUCAUACAUAUACCAAUCAUGAGUGACGUGCUUUGGCUGUGUGCCCACCCAAUCUCAUCUUGAAUUGUAGCCCCCAUAAUUCCCAUGUGUCAUGGGAGGGACCUGGUGGGAGGUAAUUGAAUCAUGGGGACGGUCUUUCCUGUGCUGUUUUUGUGAAUAAGUCUUGUGAGAUCUGAUGGUUCUAUAAAGGGGGUUCCCCUGCACAUACCCUCUUGCCUGCCAUCAUGUAAGACAUCCCUUUGCUUCUCCUUUGCCUUCUGCCAUGAUUGUGAGGCCUUCCUGGCCAUGUGGAACUGUGAGUCAAUUAAACCUCUUUAUAAAUUAUCCAGUCUCUGGUAUGUCUUUAUUAGCAGCAUGAGAAUGGAUUAAUACAAUGGAACUAGAACCAAAAUUAUUCACCAGUGGAUCAGGGGAUCCACUGAUAGGCUUCAGAGGGUCACUGAAUGUCCUAGUAUUAUCUGCACAUUUUAGUUAUGUGCAUAUGUUCUUUUGUCUGGAGGGAGAGAGUUCAUAGCCUUUAUUAGAUUUUAAGAGGGUCUAUAAAUCCAAUUUAUGAACAACUUACAAGAGAAAUCAGUUUAAUAUUUGGUUACAAAAACCAGUAAAGGUUUUGGGUCCCCCAUCUGGAAGAAACCACAGGAAUUAUUUUAUCUACCACAAUUAAUCUUCCUGAAACAUGGUGUGAUGUCCUAGACGAAAACACUAAGGAAUAGAGAAGAAAGGAACAAGCUCCCCGUAUUUAUUACUUGGAAUUUGCUUAGGCUCUCUUUUGCCCUAAGACUAUGACAUCACUUCAGCCACUGCUUAUAUUGCAUCCCUGCCAGAUGUGCAUUCAAUCUCUGCAUGAAAACUUCAGCAACCAGGGAAUGCCCACAGUCUACCAUGACCCUAGGUUAUUGUAUAUAGCUUCAUUUGUUUUAAUUUUUUCAAGUUUUAUUUUAUUAAUGUUUUAUAUACUUUGAAAAUAAUUGAAAUGAGCUAGAAUCAAGGGCAAGAAAAAAUAAUGAAACAUUCAAGGAUGUUACAGUGUGGCAGUGGCUGAUAGGGAGUGCCAGGAAACUGCUUGUAAGGGAGAUUACUGUGUCUGAGCAGAGGAGGCACUCCUGAGAUUCUUGGCAGCAAUGACAAAAAGAGAAGCCCAAGGGAUUCCCUAACUUUUCUGAUCCAAUGCAGAGAAGACAGCCAUGUUUUCAAGGGAGGUGGGUAUUCUCCUAACUCUUGUGUUCCUGGAGAAAUUAUCAUAAAGCUUUUUAUACAAUGUACAUUUAAAAGGGCAUAAUGGACAAGUGGCUCUUUGCCAGAUGUUUUACCAGAAUUGUAAGACAUUUUUUGUAAGUACCCUUAAUAGGAACUGGACUCUGGGUUUGAUUUUUUAAAAUAAUAAAAGGCACACAGUACUUAACUGCUUCAAUAAGUCAAUGUUCAGUUGUGCUAUCCCAGAUAAAAGAGAGGAGCACAUUUAUGGAACAUCUUUGUGGAGGUGGUCUCAAAAGAGUGCAUUUGAUUUUUCUUGACCUACCAGGAAAACAGUGGAUGUUCAUGAACACCUUCCUAGUCAGUUCCACAAAAAAAAAAAAAAAAAAAAAGGAAGGAAAUUUAUAGGAACAUGUCUUUUUGGCUGGCCAUCCAAAUCUGCCUCCUCUGGUUCUAGAGACUUUCCUUGCAGGUCACUGUGGGGUUGGACCAGCAGAGAGUUUCAGAGCUUUCAUGGCUUAACUGAAGCUCUGGAGGCAAUAGUAGUGGGGAUCUUACUGGCCCUUACAGUGCUGCUCAGAUACCAAAUCCUGCAGGCUGAGUCACAAGAGGUAAACGGUUUGUAAUACCCUCUCUCUAGGAUCUCUUCCUCCUUUUUGUGUCUUUUGCACAGAAAAUUGAUAUUUUUUGUUAAAUGGAGUCAAUAUUACAAGUUUUUCUGGUGGUUUUGAAUGAUUUCUAAAUUGAUCCAGAUAUGACUCUGUCAAGAGAUAUGAUUACAAUGUACAAAACAUUUAGAAGUAGACUCAUUUGUAUAAUGUGACAUAAAUGGUCUCAAGCUUUUUUUAAACUACAUAACCAGGAUGCUAAGUUAGUAAUAUUCAAUGAGAAAUUCAAUCCUCAAUAAAACUUCUAGAGACAUGAGUAUCCACAUUAUAAUUAGAGGCUUGUUCGGUGACCCUGGGAUUAGAAUAUGGGAGUGUAAAUCAUCUUAAUGACAGUGCCAUCAAUUCAGUUCAAUUUGUUUUCUAAUAGCUGCCUGGCAGAAAAUUCAGAUCUGAGAUCUUUAGUGAUCCCUGGAAUGCAGGAUCUAUCAAUUCUCUUGACCAUUAGAGACCAGUGAAGAUAUAAUUGUUUAUAAGAGUCUUCCCUCCCCAGCUUAUUGAGGGCACUUCCAUCUCCAUACAGAACUGAGACCAAGCAGGGCCAUGCCUUUCCUCAAAAGCAUAGCUUGGAUUGGUUCAAGAGCUUAGAUACAUAAUCAGUUGAGAACUCAGAGUCUUGUGUCAUUAUAGAAUGGAAUAAAAACUAUUGAGUGGCAGCAGUCACCAAACAGUAUCAGUAGCAGAAUGAAUGAAACAAAAAAAUCAUAUUGAACUGGAGAGAAACUUGCUGUGAUCAGAUUGGUAUCAGGACAUAAUCAGGAAAGGAGACAGAGCUGGCAGUGGGAUGCAGGGAAAAAACAGAAGCAUUCAUUUCUUCAAUCAUUCAUUCAUUUAUUUUCUCACUCACUAAUUCAUCAACACAGGAUGAGUAUUUUUUAUCCACUUGGGAUUCUUCUAGACACUGAGCUUUCAAAUCAGACAUGAGCUCCUUCAGGAACUUGGACUAAUAUGAGAAAAUACAUGAAGUUAAGAUCUGAGUUAAACAGAAAAAGGCUUGGAGCAGUAGAUUGGGUCAAAAUUAUGGAGGAACUUGGUUGCCAGCCUUAAAUACAAUGGUUUAGCCUCGAUUCUAAGGCAAUGGAAGGGGAGAGCAUCACAUGUUAAAAGAGGGAAUGCCAUACAGGGAGCUGUGCACAAAUAUGGAGAUGAGAACAGAGCUAUGGUGCUAAGUUGAGGGUAGAAAGGGGUGGGCGUGGUGGCUAACACUUGUAAUCCAAGCACUUUGGAGGCCAAAGCGGGUGAUUCACCUGAGGUUGGGAGUUCAAGACCAGUCUGACCAACAUGGUGAAACCCCAUCUUUAAAAAAAAAAGAGAGAACAGAGCUAUGGUGCUAAAUUGAGGGUAGAGAGGGGCAUUGCAAUUGUCUAAGUAAAAAAGUAUUUAGCUGGAACUAGAAGUAGGAAUGACAUUGCU
Non-coding RNA from Callithrix jacchus (white-tufted-ear marmoset), 4255 nucleotides. Lineage: Eukaryota; Metazoa; Chordata; Mammalia; Primates; Cebidae. The record is from RefSeq and is a predicted model, not a curated record.